UCUGGUCUCCCCUAGUUUCCCUGUUCUAGUUCCCCGGUGUCUCUGUUCUGUUCUCCUAGCCCUCUAAGUUCUUGUGUUUAGGCGCCGCCAGAGCCCUCCGGCGUUCCAAGUCACCGGCUGAGCCCUCUGGCGCGCCCAGCCUGUCGUUGCCUAGUGCAUGCAAGUCGCCGCCAGAGCCCUCCGGUGGUUAUAAGUCGCUGUCUGUGCCCUCUGGUGCGCCCAGCCUGUCGUUGUCUAGUGCAUGCAAGUCG
Molecule: long non-coding RNA, 251 nt
Organism: Fundulus heteroclitus (mummichog)
Lineage: Eukaryota; Metazoa; Chordata; Actinopteri; Cyprinodontiformes; Fundulidae
Exons: 2
Source: RefSeq, a predicted model, not a curated record